Molecule: transfer RNA, 76 nt
Filed under: Candidatus Aenigmatarchaeota archaeon
Lineage: Archaea; Nanobdellati; Candidatus Aenigmatarchaeota
Description: tRNA-Lys
Rfam family: tRNA
About the family: Transfer RNA (tRNA) molecules are approximately 80 nucleotides in length.
Source: RNAcentral
GGGCCUGUAGCUCAGCCUGGUAGAGCAUCGGCCUUUUAAGCCGAGAGUCGCGGGUUCGAAUUUCCCGUCGGGCCCA